AGGCCAGUUCUGAUCUUAGGAAUU
Molecule: small RNA, 24 nt
Filed under: Arabidopsis thaliana (thale cress)
Lineage: Eukaryota; Viridiplantae; Streptophyta; Magnoliopsida; Brassicales; Brassicaceae
Source: RNAcentral